RNAcentral lists this ribosomal RNA (252 nucleotides) under uncultured bacterium. Its description in RNAcentral is "partial 16S ribosomal RNA". It matches the Rfam family "Bacterial small subunit ribosomal RNA", at positions 524 to 776 of the family's 1533-position model. The record is from RNAcentral.
UACGAAGGGGGCUAGCGUUGUUCGGAAUCACUGGGCGUAAAGCGCACGUAGGCGGAUUUUUAAGUCAGGGGUGAAAUCCCGGGGCUCAACCUCGGAACUGCCUUUGAUACUGGAGAUCUUGAGUCCGGAAGAGGUAAGUGGAACUGCGAGUGUAGAGGUGAAAUCGUAGAUAUUCGCAAGAACACCAGUGGCGAAGGCGGCUUACUGGUCCGGAACUGACGCUGAGGUGCGAAAGCGUGGGGAGCAAACAGG